UACGUAGGGGGCUAGCGUUGUCCGGAAUCAUUGGGCGUAAAGCGCGUGUAGGCGGCCCGGUAAGUCCGCUGUGAAAGUCGGGGGCUCAACCCUCGGAUGCCGGUGGAUACUGCUGGGCUAGAGUACGGAAGAGGCGAGUGGAAUUCCCGGUGUAGCGGUGAAAUGCGCAGAUAUCGGGAGGAACACCAAUUGCGAAGGCAGCUCGCUGGGACGUUACUGACGCUGAGACGCGAAAGCGUGGGGAGCAAACAGG
RNAcentral lists this ribosomal RNA (253 nucleotides) under uncultured bacterium. Its description in RNAcentral is "partial 16S ribosomal RNA". It matches the Rfam family "Bacterial small subunit ribosomal RNA", at positions 524 to 776 of the family's 1533-position model. The record is from RNAcentral.